Molecule: ribosomal RNA, 1358 nt
Filed under: uncultured bacterium
Lineage: Bacteria
Description: bacterial SSU rRNA
Rfam family: Bacterial small subunit ribosomal RNA
Source: RNAcentral
AUUGAACGCUGGCGGCAGGCCUAACACAUGCAAGUCGAGCGGUAGAGAGAAGCUUGCUUCUCUUGAGAGCGGCGGACGGGUGAGUAAUGCCUAGGAAUCUGCCUGGUAGUGGGGGAUAACGUUCGGAAACGGACGCUAAUACCGCAUACGUCCUACGGGAGAAAGCAGGGGACCUUCGGGCCUUGCGCUAUCAGAUGAGCCUAGGUCGGAUUAGCUGGUUGGUGAGGUAAUGGCUCACCAAGGCGACGAUCCGUAACUGGUCUGAGAGGAUGAUCAGUCACACUGGAACUGAGACACGGUCCAGACUCCUACGGGAGGCAGCAGUGGGGAAUAUUGGACAAUGGGCGAAAGCCUGAUCCAGCCAUGCCGCGUGUGUGAAGAAGGUCUUCGGAUUGUAAAGCACUUUAAGUUGGGAGGAAGGGCAGUAAAUUAAUACUUUGCUGUUUUGACGUUACCGACAGAAUAAGCACCGGCUAACUCUGUGCCAGCAGCCGCGGUAAUACAGAGGGUGCAAGCGUUAAUCGGAAUUACUGGGCGUAAAGCGCGCGUAGGUGGUUUGUUAAGUUGGAUGUGAAAUCCCCGGGCUCAACCUGGGAACUGCAUUCAAAACUGACUGACUAGAGUAUGGUAGAGGGUGGUGGAAUUUCCUGUGUAGCGGUGAAAUGCGUAGAUAUAGGAAGGAACACCAGUGGCGAAGGCGACCACCUGGACUAAUACUGACACUGAGGUGCGAAAGCGUGGGGAGCAAACAAGAUUAGAUACCCUGGUAGUCCACGCCGUAAACGAUGUCAACUAGCCGUUGGAAGCCUUGAGCUUUUAGUGGCGCAGCUAACGCAUUAAGUUGACCGCCUGGGGAGUACGGCCGCAAGGUUAAAACUCAAAUGAAUUGACGGGGGCCCGCACAAGCGGUGGAGCAUGUGGUUUAAUUCGAAGCAACGCGAAGAACCUUACCAGGCCUUGACAUCCAAUGAACUUUCUAGAGAUAGAUUGGUGCCUUCGGGAACAUUGAGACAGGUGCUGCAUGGCUGUCGUCAGCUCGUGUCGUGAGAUGUUGGGUUAAGUCCCGUAACGAGCGCAACCCUUGUCCUUAGUUACCAGCACGUCAUGGUGGGCACUCUAAGGAGACUGCCGGUGACAAACCGGAGGAAGGUGGGGAUGACGUCAAGUCAUCAUGGCCCUUACGGCCUGGGCUACACACGUGCUACAAUGGUCGGUACAGAGGGUUGCCAAGCCGCGAGGUGGAGCUAAUCCCACAAAACCGAUCGUAGUCCGGAUCGCAGUCUGCAACUCGACUGCGUGAAGUCGGAAUCGCUAGUAAUCGCGAAUCAGAAUGUCGCGGUGAAUACGUUCCCGGGCCU